Molecule: long non-coding RNA, 1468 nt
Organism: Octopus sinensis (East Asian common octopus)
Lineage: Eukaryota; Metazoa; Mollusca; Cephalopoda; Octopoda; Octopodidae
Exons: 2
Source: RefSeq, a predicted model, not a curated record
GAGAACGAGAAAGAGAGAGAGAGAGAGAGAGAGAGAGAGAGAGAUAGACAGAGAGAAAGAAGGAGAGUAAGAGAAAGAGAGUUAGAGAGAGAGAGAGAAAAAAUAUUUCCAUAUUUGGACAAAGUUUCCACUGAAUACAUUUUUGAAGUUCAUGAAAUUUCACUUGAAAAAAGCUGACCAAAAGCACUCCACCGACAUGUAGGACAUGUAGCGUCCAGUUGGAACAUACAUCAAGCAGUUAAGUACACAGAUUAACUAAAGAUUUCAAAGCCAAUGCAACAAAGUUGUUCUGGUCAAGUUAGUAGUGGACAGACCAGCUGAGGAGAGAGGAGAGGAGAGAAAGGAGAGAUUAAGAGAGAGAGAUUAAGAGAAAUUUAAGUGUUAUAUCUCAGGUUGUAGUAGUAGUAUUAGUAGAAGUGGUGGUGGUGGUGAUAGCAGUGUGUCAAAGUGUGGACAAAGAGCAGAGAGGUGGACAGCAGAGUGUGAGAAGAAACUAAGACCCUACAGCAAGGUUUUGGGCAGAGUGUGUGUGUAUGUGUGUAUGUACAUGUUAGAUAUAUAUCUAUAUAUAUAUAUAUAGUAGUAGUAGUAGUAGUUGGGGCCCUACGCUAAGGCAGACAUCUAGACACAAUGAUUCAAACCACCAACGCACAGACACAUUCCAACACUCAUCAAGCAAAUUACGUCAGUCAUUAUUCACCCUUAGUCUAUUGUAGCUUACGGUCAAUGCAACCAAGCAAGCCACCCACAAACUAUUACGGGGACACGCACACAUAUACCCUCUGUAAACAGAAGCCCCUGCACACACGCAGCCAGACGAGUGGGUGGGUGGGUGGUAAGGAGGCGAGGAGCAAAAAGGGGACCAAUAUUGUCGGGAUGUAAAAAUUUGUAUAAGCAACCUAACUACAGACAUUAGGGAGUGGUGGGUCAGGUAGGAUUUACUAGAUUUAGACUCCACCAGACAAACAGACGGACAGAGUGGGGGGAGGGGGAGUCGUGAAGGCCCAGUCUCUUUGAGUUGAGUUCUAAGUGUCCGUUUUACAAUGGGGGGGAGAGGGGGAAACGAGGAAAGGAAAGAGAGAGACAAGAGAGAGAGAGAGAGAGAGAGAGGAGGAAGAAGAGGAAAGAGGGAGGAGGAGGAAGAGGAGCCAAAAUAAAAAAAUAAAAAAAAAGGAUGUGAAGAAAUCAAAUGACAGGCAAUGAGAUAUGAAAUGGCCAGUAGAUGGCGCUUGCAGAUGAAAAAAAAUUGCAUCAACAUACACAGAUACUCUCAAGAACCGCUUUCUGCCCUUCAUCAAUAUAAUUGUUAUUAUUAUUAUUAGUAGUUAGUAGUAGUAGUAGUAGUAGUAUUAUCAUUAUUUCUUUAUUAGUACAUUAGUGGAAUUUUCUUUGAUAAUAUUGGUUGUUUCCAAAAAAAAAAGUCUGACAAGCAUCAUUUAAAAAUUAAAAAAUAAAAAUGAAAAUAAAA